RNAcentral lists this ribosomal RNA (635 nucleotides) under uncultured bacterium. RNAcentral describes it as "bacterial SSU rRNA". It matches the Rfam family "Bacterial small subunit ribosomal RNA", at positions 867 to 1501 of the family's 1533-position model. The record is from RNAcentral.
UCCCGCCUGGGGAGUACGCACGCAAGUGUGAAACUCAAAGGAAUUGACGGGGGCCCGCACAAGCGGUGGAGUAUGUGGUUUAAUUCGAUGCAACGCGAAGAACCUUACCAGGGAUUGACAUCCUACGAAUCACUUUGAAAGGAGUGAGUGCCUUCGGGAACGUAGAGACAGGUGGUGCAUGGCUGUCGUCAGCUCGUGUCGUGAGAUGUUGGGUUAAGUCCCGCAACGAGCGCAACCCUCGUCCUUAGUUGCCAUCAUUAAGUUGGGCACUUUAAGGAGACUGCCGGUGACAAACCGGAGGAAGGUGGGGAUGACGUCAAGUCAUCAUGCCCCUUACAUCCUGGGCUACACACGUACUACAAUGCAACGGACAAAGGGCAGCCAACUAGCGAUAGUGCGCAAAUCCCAUAAACCGUUGCUCAGUUCAGAUUGCAGGCUGCAACUCGCCUGCAUGAAGGCGGAAUCGCUAGUAAUCGCAGGUCAGCAUACUGCGGUGAAUACGUUCCCGGGCCUUGUACACACCGCCCGUCACACCAUGGAAGUUGGCCACGCCCGAAGUCGUUACCCCAACCGUUUACGGAGGGGGACGCCGAAGGCAGGGCUGAUGACUGGGGUGAAGUCGUAACAAGGUAACC